RNAcentral lists this transfer RNA (72 nucleotides) under Candida neerlandica. RNAcentral's name for it is "tRNA-Asp". It matches the Rfam family "tRNA". Rfam says of the family: Transfer RNA (tRNA) molecules are approximately 80 nucleotides in length. Their secondary structure includes four short double-helical elements and three loops (D, anti-codon, and T loops). Further hydrogen bonds mediate the characteristic L-shaped molecular structure. tRNAs have two regions of fundamental functional importance: the anti-codon, which is responsible for specific mRNA codon recognition, and the 3' end, to which the tRNAs corresponding amino acid is attached (by aminoacyl-tRNA synthetases). tRNAs cope with the degeneracy of the genetic code in two manners: having more than one tRNA (with a specific anti-codon) for a particular amino acid; and 'wobble' base-pairing, i.e. permitting non-standard base-pairing at the 3rd anti-codon position. RNAcentral also lists the same sequence under 2 other names. Lineage: Eukaryota; Fungi; Ascomycota; Pichiomycetes; Serinales; Debaryomycetaceae. The record is from RNAcentral.
GCAUUACUAGCUUAAUGGUAAAGCCCUAUAAUGUCACUAUAGGUGAUGUCAGUUCGAAUCUGAUGUAUUGCG